UCGCAGAUCAGAAUGCUGCGGUGAAUGCGUUCCCGGGUCUUGUACACACCGCCCGUCACACCACGGGAGUUGGAGACGCCCGAAGCCGAUUAUCUAACCUUUUGGAAGAAGUCGUCGAAGGAGGAAUCCAUCACUGAGUGGAAGUAGUAAAAAGGUAGCCGGAGCGGAAGGGGCGGCUGGAUCACCUCCUUUCGAAGGAGA
This 201-nucleotide ribosomal RNA is filed under the name Clostridioides difficile. Its description in RNAcentral is "partial 16S ribosomal RNA". It matches the Rfam family "Bacterial small subunit ribosomal RNA", at positions 1342 to 1533 of the family's 1533-position model. The record is from RNAcentral. Lineage: Bacteria; Bacillati; Bacillota; Clostridia; Peptostreptococcales; Peptostreptococcaceae.